This 637-nucleotide long non-coding RNA is filed under the name Anser brachyrhynchus (Pink-footed goose). RNAcentral's name for it is "lncRNA (ENSABRG00000021573.1)". Lineage: Eukaryota; Metazoa; Chordata; Aves; Anseriformes; Anatidae. The record is from RNAcentral.
AUGCUAAUUCCUCUAUUUUGGAGUCACACAGCCAAGCUACAGGCUGAAUACUUUCUUGAGAAAAUCAGGAUGCCUGUAUGGAAUGAGCAGGACAAGUGUUCAUGCACAAUUCCCAGCCCUGCAGCAGCAGGUUCAAAAUGCCAGCUGUACUACCUGGACAUCCAUCUGAGAUGCAACUCCUUCUCCAAGCAGAAUUUCCUACGUGUCUCAAGCCAAAGGCUUUGCAGCUUUCAGCCACUGAGAACUCAGAGACAGCUUUUUAGCUGGACAAUCCCAGAACUAACCACAAAUUAUGUUGGUGUUCUGCUUCUUCCAGUUUGUCUUGAUGGGCCUGAAGUCAGCUUCUUUCUUGUGGAAAUAAAGAAUGUCACCAUGAAUGUCCAUGGGCAAGCUGGAUAAGAAGGAGUGUCACAAUGCAGGACAACCUAGGAGAUGACAGCCAGUACUGGAGAAAAUAGGACUUCAAAGAAGACCUAAGAAGACCUACGUGAGCGAGCAAAGAAGACCUAUGUACACACGCAAACUUGAUGAGAAAAAGAUAUUUUUCUAUUUUUUUUUUUAAGAAAGUAGCAAUAUGUAGCCAUUUGUUUUUCCUCUUCACUAUGCUGUUACUUUUGACAUUUCUUUUCCAGUAGGG